AGGGGAGUGUGCACUUUAUAUUGGUUGUUUUAGUGUUUAGGAAGGCUGUGCAAGUCACAUGCAGAGAUAUGUGACUAGAAUGCAUAAGCAGUGAUUUAACUCCUUACUGGCAGAGAAUUAAGCAGUAAGACUGCAUGGAACAUGACCCAUACAUCUAAACUGCUUAAUUAAAUUAAUGUUGUGGACAAAAAUAUUAACCCAAUCCAUGUUAGUAAAAUGCCUAUUUACUCAGUAUAACUACAAUCAGCAUUAUUCAACUUUCUAUGUGAUUUACCUAAAAUGGCCGCUAGGGAGUUUCUCUUUGACAUCGCCUAAUACCCUCAUUAACAAGAUGGCGCUGGAAUCUGGGGGAGACUUCCAAGACCAGUGACAUCACACCCGGUAGGAAGAGCACUAAAUGAACCACUUAACACCUAACCAAUUAUUGAUGUAUUAUUCCAUGUUAUCUCUGACAAUGCAUAUGAUGUAAUAUUGCUUUAUAAGGG
Molecule: non-coding RNA, 485 nt
Organism: Pelobates cultripes (western spadefoot toad)
Lineage: Eukaryota; Metazoa; Chordata; Amphibia; Anura; Pelobatidae
Source: the annotation of a GenBank genome assembly